Molecule: ribosomal RNA, 253 nt
Filed under: uncultured bacterium
Lineage: Bacteria
Description: partial small subunit ribosomal RNA
Rfam family: Bacterial small subunit ribosomal RNA
Source: RNAcentral
AGGACGAACGCUGGCGGCGUGCUUAACACAUGCAAGUCGAGCGGAAAGGCCCUUCGGGGUACUCGAGCGGCGAACGGGUGAGUAACACGUGAGCAACCUGCCCUUAGCUUCGGGAUAGCUCCGGGAAACCGGAAUUAAUACCGAAUAUGAUUUUGCUGACAUCAGCAGAAGUGGAAAGUUUUUCGGCUAGGGAUGGACUCGCGGCCUAUCAGCUAGUUGGUGAGGUAACGGCCCACCAAGGCGACGACGGGUA